GGGCCGGCUCUGCGCGCCUGGCUCUAGCUGCACGGGUGCCUGGCGUAGGAGCGGGCCAUCGUGAGCGGGCAAGCGGGGAUUUGACCAGAUCUGAUUAGAGAGCGCAGGAGCAGAGGCCGAUUUGGUGCGGUUCUUGGAAGGAUGGCGGAUGAGCGACCAGCCUGGCUUUUGGAUGGGGGGUCUGCACAAGAUUCAAAUCAGCUAGAUCUUUUGGCGAUUACAUAUCCUUCUGGGCCAAGUGAGCAGCACAUGGAUGACAAGAGAACAAGUCAGCAGCAA
Panicum virgatum (switchgrass) is the source of this 279-nucleotide long non-coding RNA. RefSeq lists it as uncharacterized. The transcript is spliced from 2 exons. NCBI's taxonomy places the organism in Eukaryota, Viridiplantae, Streptophyta, Magnoliopsida, Poales, Poaceae. The record is from RefSeq and is a predicted model, not a curated record.